CUCAUCCAUUCUGCCUUUAACUUACUGACUCAUUCUGAAUUUCAAGGGUCACAAUCGCAUGACUGCAAACAAAGUAUUGGAGCACGCUGAGCUAAUCAUGAUCAUGAAAGAGACAACCCUGUAAUCUCAUAUGGAGUGGGACAAGGUGAACAAAACGAGUAGAAAAGAAGGCUGAGUGGUGCAGACCUUGUUCGAACUGCGUUUCUCAACUCUUCAGUCAUGUCACUGAGGUGGAGAUGCCCAGAAGCCCUGCUAAACCUCAAUCUCCACCUCUCGGGGGCUAAGGAGUUUGGAGCUGGGCACUGCCAGGUGCCUCACUCUCAUGCUCAUGUCAAAUCUAUAUCUCUCAUCUAGAGUUCAGUCUGUGAACUCUGCGGUCUCCUGCAUCGUCUUUAUUACAGACAUUGGAGAGAUGUCAAGAAAUGAACAACAGCUACUAUGGUGAAAGCAAUUGUAUGUUAUAGAUGUAAUUUCUA
This is a long non-coding RNA of Micropterus dolomieu (smallmouth bass), 476 nucleotides long. RefSeq lists it as uncharacterized. The transcript has 3 exons. Lineage: Eukaryota; Metazoa; Chordata; Actinopteri; Centrarchiformes; Centrarchidae. The record is from RefSeq and is a predicted model, not a curated record.